This 97-nucleotide microRNA precursor is filed under the name Microtus ochrogaster (prairie vole). RNAcentral's name for it is "miRNA (ENSMOCG00000005815.1)". The record is from RNAcentral. Lineage: Eukaryota; Metazoa; Chordata; Mammalia; Rodentia; Cricetidae.
AUAGGAAGGCAUAUCUCUGUGAGUUCGAGGCCAGCCUGGUCUACAGAAUGAGUUCCAGGACAGCCAGAGCUACACAGAGGAAACCCUGUCUCAAAAA